GGUAACAUGACGCUUCGGUGUUGAUGACGACCGGCGCACGGGUGCGUAACGCGUAUGCAAUCUACCUACAGCAGAGGGAUAGCCCGUGGAAACAUGGAUUAAUACCUCAUAAUACAGGGGGCCCACCUGGGCAUAUUGUUAAAGAUUUAUCGGCUGUAGAUGAGCAUGCGUCCCAUUAGCUAGUUGGUACGGUAACGGCGUACCAAGGCGAUGAUGGGUAGGGGUUCUGAGAGGAUGAUCCCCCACACUGGUACUGAGAUACGGACCAGACUCCUACGGGAGGCAGCAGUAGGGAAUAUUGGUCAAUGGACGAAAGUCUGAACCAGCCAUGCCGCGUGCAGGAAGACGGCCUUCUGGGUUGUAAACUGCUUUUCUCAGGGAAGAAAAAGGUCUUGCGAGACAAAUUGCCGGUACCUGAGGAAUAAGCACCGGCUAACUCCGUGCCAGCAGCCGCGGUAAUACGGAGGGUGCGAGCGUUGUCCGGAUUUAUUGGGUUUAAAGGGUGCGUAGGCGGCCUAUUAAGUCAGUGGUGAAAGGUAUCAGCUUAACUGAUGACGUGCCAUUGAAACUGAUAGGCUUGAGUACAGACGAGGUAGGCGGAAUUUAUGGUGUAGCGGUGAAAUGCAUAGAUACCAUAAAGAACACCGAUAGCGAAGGCAGCUUACUAGGCUGAGACUGACGCUGAGGCACGAAAGCGUGGGGAGCGAACGGGAUUAGAUACCCUGGUAGUCCACGCUGUAAACGAUGAUUACUGGAUGUGUGCGAUAGACAGUACGCGUCUGAGCGAAAGCGUUAAGUAAU
This 801-nucleotide ribosomal RNA is filed under the name uncultured bacterium. Its description in RNAcentral is "bacterial SSU rRNA". It matches the Rfam family "Bacterial small subunit ribosomal RNA", at positions 66 to 868 of the family's 1533-position model. The record is from RNAcentral.